This 684-nucleotide ribosomal RNA is filed under the name uncultured Lachnospiraceae bacterium. RNAcentral's name for it is "bacterial SSU rRNA". It matches the Rfam family "Bacterial small subunit ribosomal RNA", at positions 62 to 746 of the family's 1533-position model. Lineage: Bacteria; Bacillati; Bacillota; Clostridia; Lachnospirales; Lachnospiraceae. The record is from RNAcentral.
UCGAGCGAAGCACCUUGACGGAUUUCUUCGGAUUGAAGCCUUGGUGACUGAGCGGCGGACGGGUGAGUAACGCGUGGGUAACCUGCCUCAUACAAGGGGAUAACAGUUGGAAACGGCUGCUAAUACCGCAUAAGCGCACAGUACCGCAUGGUACGGUGUGAAAAACUCCGGUGGUAUGAGAUGGACCCGCGUCUGAUUAGGUAGUUGGUGGGGUAACGGCCUACCAAGCCGACGAUCAGUAGCCGACCUGAGAGGGUGACCGGCCACAUUGGGACUGAGACACGGCCCAAACUCCUACGGGAGGCAGCAGUGGGGAAUAUUGCACAAUGGGGGAAACCCUGAUGCAGCGACGCCGCGUGAGCGAUGAAGUAUUUCGGUAUGUAAAGCUCUAUCAGCAGGGAAGAAAAUGACGGUACCUGACUAAGAAGCCCCGGCUAACUACGUGCCAGCAGCCGCGGUAAUACGUAGGGGGCAAGCGUUAUCCGGAUUUACUGGGUGUAAAGGGAGCGUAGACGGCAUGGCAAGCCAGAUGUGAAAGCCCGGGGCUCAACCCCGGGACUGCAUUUGGAACUGUCAGGCUAGAGUGUCGGAGAGGAAAGCGGAAUUCCUAGUGUAGCGGUGAAAUGCGUAGAUAUUAGGAGGAACACCAGUGGCGAAGGCGGCUUUCUGGACGGUGACUGACGU